CCUUCCCCGCCCCUUCAACUACUAGCCACUCAAAUUCCACUCUCCCGUUUAAAAAAAAAUUUUUUUUCUCCCGUUUGAAAUUUGCGGCGACCCCCACAACAGUCUCUCCAAGUCCCGCCCCUCACUGUUUACCUCAGCUCCACCCCUAACCUAUGAUUCCCCAGAGGCCCCACCUUUCUUUGAUUGAAACCCCACCCCUCAGCGAGCGGUUCGCUUAGCACCGCCCCUUCCCACAAGGGCUCCCCACCCCACCCUCAAGCCCCACCCUCCGCGAUGAUUGAUUCUAGCUCCUCCCUCUUCUUAAAGGUUGCUUCUAAGCCCCGCCUUCCACCCUGUCAGUCUACACCAGCCCCGGCCCCAGCAGAUGCUUGAAUGAAGGGGAGGGAAGCUGUGCUGGGCCCCUGAAGAAGACGCAGCCGGAAGGGUGGAGGGAGUCAGCAGAGAACCACUCCGCGUCCCCGACCCUUCCACACGCGGCUCUCUCGUUGAGGGCCAAAGCGCAUGCUCCGUCGCCGGCGCGGGGCAGUAGUUCUCGUGCCUCCGCUCUUCUGGGGCUCAAAUCGCUGGCAGGACCCAUACAUGAUACAAUUUUUCAACCUACUCCGCCUUCUGAUGGCACAGCCCAGGAGGCCUACGGAUGGAUGCGGCACAGCAGGCCUCCAAAGGGAAAGCUAUGGAUAUCUCUUCUAUUGCUUAAUUUGACUACUCCCCUGGAUUCGAACAGCCAUCAUGAAUCAGAAAAAGCCCCUAGAGAACGGACUGUUGGGAGCCAUAGAGCAGUCAUAAAAACUCAGCUAGUGUCCCUGCACGUUCCCCUCAGGCCGGUGGGUUAAUAUCCCUGGGCUGGGAAAUAGAAGAAAGUUCAGGUGACUUCAGGGUACAACUCCCAGGCCAACUUGGCCCCCAGGAGAAACAAGAUGACCAACAUGGGGUGUGGGUCAGGAAAGCAGGCGGGAAAAUCUUGGUAGAGUUCCCUUAUGAAUCAUUACUAUAGAAAUUACCAUGCACAUUGUUACAGUCAAGAUCAAUAGAAUGAGUUCUGCUCAUUCUACUGUAAAUAGAUUCAGGGAACUAUGGAAAAACAUGCCCCCACAGCGAGCCUAGGUGGGAGUCCUGGUAAUUUAAGACACAUUCAGAAGACAUUGUGGUGCCUUGUAGAAAUUUAACCUGAGAUUAUAGAGCAACAAAAGUCUUGAGGGAAGGACCAUAAUGACCUUUCCUGGUUGGGAAAGCAGGGGAACAUUCCGAGAAAUAGAUGAUGCCAUAAAUCACUUAAUGACACAUGUUUUAUGUUAAUUUUGCAAUGAUUUCAUGUAACCAAUCCCCUAUAUAUUGCUUGAAGUUUCUGACAAUAAACAGACCAGCUUAGCA
Molecule: long non-coding RNA, 1371 nt
Organism: Manis pentadactyla (Chinese pangolin)
Lineage: Eukaryota; Metazoa; Chordata; Mammalia; Pholidota; Manidae
Exons: 2
Source: RefSeq, a predicted model, not a curated record